Molecule: ribosomal RNA, 759 nt
Filed under: Escherichia coli
Lineage: Bacteria; Pseudomonadati; Pseudomonadota; Gammaproteobacteria; Enterobacterales; Enterobacteriaceae
Description: partial 23S ribosomal RNA
Rfam family: Bacterial large subunit ribosomal RNA
Source: RNAcentral
UCGCUGUGAAGAUGCAGUGUACCCGCGGCAAGACGGAAAGACCCCGUGAACCUUUACUAUAGCUUGACACUGAACAUUGAGCCUUGAUGUGUAGGAUAGGUGGGAGGCUUUGAAGUGUGGACGCCAGUCUGCAUGGAGCCGACCUUGAAAUACCACCCUUUAAUGUUUGAUGUUCUAACGUUGGCCCGUAAUCCGGGUUGCGGACAGUGUCUGGUGGGUAGUUUGACUGGGGCGGUCUCCUCCUAAAGAGUAACGGAGGAGCACGAAGGUUGGCUAAUCCUGGUCGGACAUCAGGAGGUUAGUGCAAUGGCAUAAGCCAGCUUGACUGCGAGCGUGACGGCGCGAGCAGGUGCGAAAGCAGGUCAUAGUGAUCCGGUGGUUCUGAAUGGAAGGGCCAUCGCUCAACGGAUAAAAGGUACUCCGGGGAUAACAGGCUGAUACCGCCCAAGAGUUCAUAUCGACGGCGGUGUUUGGCACCUCGAUGUCGGCUCAUCACAUCCUGGGGCUGAAGUAGGUCCCAAGGGUAUGGCUGUUCGCCAUUUAAAGUGGUACGCGAGCUGGGUUUAGAACGUCGUGAGACAGUUCGGUCCCUAUCUGCCGUGGGCGCUGGAGAACUGAGGGGGGCUGCUCCUAGUACGAGAGGACCGGAGUGGACGCAUCACUGGUGUUCGGGUUGUCAUGCCAAUGGCACUGCCCGGUAGCUAAAUGCGGAAGAGAUAAGUGCUGAAAGCAUCUAAGCACGAAACUUGCCCCGAGAUG